This 274-nucleotide ribosomal RNA is filed under the name uncultured bacterium. Its description in RNAcentral is "partial 16S ribosomal RNA". It matches the Rfam family "Bacterial small subunit ribosomal RNA", at positions 523 to 796 of the family's 1533-position model. The record is from RNAcentral.
AUACGGAGGGUCCGAGCGUUAAUCGGAAUUACUGGGCGUAAAGCGCGCGUAGGCGGCUAUAUAAGUCAGAUGUGAAAUCCCUGGGCUCAACCUAGGAACUGCAUUUGAAACUGUAUGGCUAGAGUAUGGUAGAGGUGAGUGGAAUUUUAGGUGUAGCGGUGAAAUGCGUAGAGAUCUGAAGGAACAUCAGUGGCGAAGGCGACUCACUGGGCCAUUACUGACGCUGAGGUGCGAAAGCGUGGGUAGCAAACAGGAUUAGAUACCCUAGUAGUCC